GGGUCAGUAGGUUGGUCGUGCCACCGGUACGUACUGGUCUCACUGAUUCCUCCUUCCUGAAGAACCGUAAUGCCAUUAAUUUGGUGUUGCGGGGAAACAGGACUGUUACUUUGAAAGAAUUAGAGUGUUUAAAGCAAGCUAACGCUUGAAUACAUUAGCAUGGAAUAAUGAAAUAGGACGAUCGAUCCUAUUUUGUUGGUUUCUAGGAUUGACGUA
This 216-nucleotide ribosomal RNA is filed under the name Glomeromycotina sp. RNAcentral's name for it is "partial small subunit ribosomal RNA". The stretch from base 40 to 216 matches the Rfam family "Eukaryotic small subunit ribosomal RNA", at positions 686 to 864 of the family's 1831-position model. Lineage: Eukaryota; Fungi; Glomeromycota. The record is from RNAcentral.